This 1519-nucleotide ribosomal RNA is filed under the name Corynebacterium diphtheriae. RNAcentral's name for it is "bacterial SSU rRNA". It matches the Rfam family "Bacterial small subunit ribosomal RNA". The record is from RNAcentral. Lineage: Bacteria; Bacillati; Actinomycetota; Actinomycetes; Mycobacteriales; Corynebacteriaceae.
UUUAUGGAGAGUUUGAUCCUGGCUCAGGACGAACGCUGGCGGCGUGCUUAACACAUGCAAGUCGAACGGAAAGGCCUAGCUUGCUAGGUACUCGAGUGGCGAACGGGUGAGUAACACGUGGGUGAUCUGCCUCGUACUUCGGGAUAAGCCUGGGAAACUGGGUCUAAUACUGGAUAGGACCAUGCUUUAGUGUGUGUGGUGGAAAGUUUUUUCGGUACGAGAUGAGCCCGCGGCCUAUCAGCUUGUUGGUGGGGUAAUGGCCUACCAAGGCGUCGACGGGUAGCCGGCCUGAGAGGGUGGACGGCCACAUUGGGACUGAGAUACGGCCCAGACUCCUACGGGAGGCAGCAGUGGGGAAUAUUGCACAAUGGGCGCAAGCCUGAUGCAGCGACGCCGCGUGGGGGAUGACGGCCUUCGGGUUGUAAACCUCUUUCGCUAGGGACGAAGCUUUUUGUGACGGUACCUAGAUAAGAAGCACCGGCUAACUACGUGCCAGCAGCCGCGGUAAUACGUAGGGUGCGAGCGUUGUCCGGAAUUAUUGGGCGUAAAGAGCUCGUAGGUGGUUUGUCGUCGUCGUCUGUGAAAUUCCGGGGCUUAACUUCGGGCGUGCAGGCGAUACGGGCAUAACUUGAGUGCUGUAGGGGAGACUGGAAUUCCUGGUGUAGCGGUGGAAUGCGCAGAUAUCAGGAGGAACACCGAUGGCGAAGGCAGGUCUCUGGGCAGUAACUGACGCUGAGGAGCGAAAGCAUGGGGAGCGAACAGGAUUAGAUACCCUGGUAGUCCAUGCCGUAAACGGUGGGCGCUAGGUGUGAGGGUCUUCCACGACUUUCGUGCCGUAGCUAACGCAUUAAGCGCCCCGCCUGGGGAGUACGGCCGCAAGGCUAAAACUCAAAGGAAUUGACGGGGGCCCGCACAAGCGGCGGAGCAUGUGGAUUAAUUCGAUGCAACGCGAAGAACCUUACCUGGGCUUGACAUAUGCAGGAUCGGCGUAGUGAUACGUUUUCCCUUGUGGUCUGUAUACAGGUGGUGCAUGGUUGUCGUCAGCUCGUGUCGUGAGAUGUUGGGUUAAGUCCCGCAACGAGCGCAACCCUUGUCUUAUGUUGCCAGCACGUGAUGGUGGGGACUCAUGAGAGACUGCCGGGGUUAACUCGGAGGAAGGUGGGGAUGACGUCAAAUCAUCAUGCCCCUUAUGUCCAGGGCUUCACACAUGCUACAAUGGUCGGUACAACGCGCUGCGAGCCUGUGAGGGUGAGCGAAUCGCUGAAAGCCGGCCUCAGUUCGGAUUGGGGUCUGCAACUCGACCCCAUGAAGUCGGAGUCGCUAGUAAUCGCAGAUCAGCAACGCUGCGGUGAAUACGUUCCCGGGCCUUGUACACACCGCCCGUCACGUCAUGAAAGUUGGUAACACCCGAAGCCAGUGGCCUAACCCUUGUGGGGGGCUGUCGAAGGUGGGAUCGGCGAUUGGGACGAAGUCGUAACAAGGUAGCCGUACCGGAAGGUGCGGCUGGAUCACCUCCUUU